UUGGAGGGCAAGUCUGGUGCCAGCAGCCGCGGUAAUUCCAGCUCCAAUAGCGUAUAUUAAAGUUGUUGCAGUUAAAAAGCUCGUAGUUGAAUUUCGGAGUUUAUCGGUUGGUCGGGCUUCACUGUCCGCACGGACCUGAUUGAUUCCUACCUUCUGAAUAACCAGCAUGCUAUUAAGUUAGUGCGUUGGGGAAGCAGAGCUACUACCUUGAAAGAAUUAGAGUGCUUAAAGCAGGCUUAUGCUUGAAUAGAUUAGCAUGGAAUAAUAAAAUAGGACGGCAUGGUUCUAUUUUGUUGGUUUCUAGGAUCACCGUAAUGAUUAAUAGGGAUAGUUGGGGGCAUUAGUAUUCAAUUGUCAGAGGUGAAAUUCUUGGAUUUAUUGAAGACUAACUUCUGCGAAAGCAUUUGCCAAGGAUGUUUUCUUUAAUCAAGAACGAAAGUUAGGGGAUCGAAGACGAUCAGAUACCGUCGUAGUCUUAACCAUAAACUAUGCCGACUAGGGAUCGGACGAUGUUAAUUUUUUAAUGACUCGUUCGGCGCCUUACGGGAAAC
Molecule: ribosomal RNA, 551 nt
Filed under: Acaulospora scrobiculata
Lineage: Eukaryota; Fungi; Glomeromycota; Glomeromycetes; Diversisporales; Acaulosporaceae
Description: SSU rRNA
Rfam family: Eukaryotic small subunit ribosomal RNA
Source: RNAcentral